CUUAGGAUGAACGCUAGCGACAGGCCUAACACAUGCAAGUCGAGGGGCAGCACAAGGAGCAAUCUGAGGUGGCGACCGGCGCACGGGUGAGUAACACGUAUGCAACCUGCCUGUAAGCGGGGAAUAACCCGUCGAAAGACGGACUAAUACCGCACAAUACUAAAUUACUGCAUGGUAAUUUAUUUAAACAUUUAUGGCUUACAGAUGGGCAUGCGCAUGAUUAGCUAGUUGGAGAGGUAACGGCUCCCCAAGGCAACGAUCAUUAGGGGUUCUGAGAGGAAGGUCCCCCACACUGGUACUGAGACACGGACCAGACUCCUACGGGAGGCAGCAGUGAGGAAUAUUGGUCAAUGGACGAGAGUCUGAACCAGCCAAGUCGCGUGCAGGAAGAAUGUCCUUAAUGGAUUGUAAACUGCUUUUGCAGGGGAAUAAAGUGCAUCACGUGUGAUGUUUUGUAUGUACUCUGCGAAUAAGGAUCGGCUAACUCCGUGCCAGCAGCCGC
RNAcentral lists this ribosomal RNA (502 nucleotides) under uncultured bacterium. RNAcentral's name for it is "bacterial SSU rRNA". It matches the Rfam family "Bacterial small subunit ribosomal RNA", at positions 23 to 518 of the family's 1533-position model. The record is from RNAcentral.